CCCUUAGAUGUUCUGGGCUGCACGCGCGCUACACUGAAGCGUUCAACGAGUAUUCACCUUGCCCGGGAGGGUUGGGUAAUCUUUUGAAAACGCUUCGUGAUGGGGAUAGAUUAUUGCAAUUAUUAAUCUUCAACGAGGAAUUCCUAGUAAGCGCGAGUCAUCAGCUCGUGCUGAUUACGUCCCUGCCCUUUGUACACACCGCCCGUCGCACCUACCGAUUGAAUGGUCCGGUGAAAUCUCCGGACUGGCGUGAGUCGGAGCAAUCUGACAAACACCGGAAAGUUGAUUAAACCUUACCAUUUAGAGGAAGGUGAAGUCGUANCA
Molecule: ribosomal RNA, 324 nt
Filed under: uncultured eukaryote
Lineage: Eukaryota
Description: partial 18S ribosomal RNA
Rfam family: Eukaryotic small subunit ribosomal RNA
Source: RNAcentral